GGCUUGUGGCUCAGUGGUAGAGCACUUGCCUUGCAGGUGUGAAGCACUGGGUUCAAUCCUCAGCACCA
RNAcentral lists this transfer RNA (68 nucleotides) under Marmota monax (woodchuck). RNAcentral describes it as "tRNA.Undet". The stretch from base 5 to 65 matches the Rfam family "tRNA", at positions 6 to 65 of the family's 71-position model. From Rfam's summary of the family: Transfer RNA (tRNA) molecules are approximately 80 nucleotides in length. Their secondary structure includes four short double-helical elements and three loops (D, anti-codon, and T loops). The record is from RNAcentral. Lineage: Eukaryota; Metazoa; Chordata; Mammalia; Rodentia; Sciuridae.